RNAcentral lists this long non-coding RNA (1075 nucleotides) under Pogona vitticeps (central bearded dragon). RNAcentral's name for it is "lncRNA (ENSPVIG00000008360.1)". The record is from RNAcentral. Lineage: Eukaryota; Metazoa; Chordata; Lepidosauria; Squamata; Agamidae.
UUUUAAUGUUUCUGUGGGAAUGGUGGCAGUCUAACUAACAAGCAUGGCACAGUAGCUCUUUCAGUGCCAAGCUUGGACAUCUUUGCUUUAUGUUAAGCUCCCUAAAUUAGAACACAUCCAGUCAAGUGGACUGGAGAAGGUGUUGGGAUUCAGAUGUUCUCAGUCAGGACUCAUAACAUCUCCCUGCAUCUGCUUGCCCUGAGUUCUCCCAUUUCAGGAUCAGCGGGAUGAGUGUGGUGGAGCAGCUAUAGAGAAGAGUAUUCACAACGGCAAUUGUGACAUGGUCUCCCAUGCUUUUCCGUCACAGUAAGCAACAGGAUUUGGGCCAGUGUCUGUGUCUGAGUAAACAUUACCAUAUUGUCAUCCUGAUAUCAUCAUCCCACUAUAACUGAUGGUCAGAGGCUGAUGAGACUGGGCUAAACGUUUCCAUAAAGCCACCCGCUGUCUUCUGAAGCAUUUCCUGCAUAAAGUCCAGAUUAUUGCCGCUGAUCAAGAACUUGGAGGCUGCUGAUCAACAAGCUGUUGUUGGCUUCUGACAGAGAGGAGCAAAAGCAACCCACAAAAGGAAAUGAAUGCUUCUAGGAGGAUACAUUGCCUUCGUGCUCAUAGACCCAAGCCUCCUGCAAGUAUCGGAGAGAACGUUCAGAAUUCAUGCGGGUGCCAACCGUGGUGUGGGAAUGAGAGGACAACUGUACAGACACUCUAUAUGCUGAUUGUUGUGAUCCUCCUGAUUGCAAUUUGGGGAGUGUGGGCAAGGAAAGAUUCCUGAGCAUGCUUCACAUCAGCUACUCCUGGAGGUCCUCUGCAGACAGAAAGGACCAAAACUUCAAAACUGAUAUACCCUGGGGCUCUUCUUGAAAUGAAAUUGAGAUUACAGUUAUGGAUGGAUUCACAGCUCUUGUUUUGAGCAAUGCAUGGGAUGAAAGAAAGAAGGAAAGAAAGAAGGAAAGAAAGAAACUAUUUUUGUACAGCUGUGUGUAAUGAUAAUAAUGUUAUAAUGCGCCACUUUAAAAGUACAUGUAAAGUAUUUAAUUAUACAUAUAAUAAAUGUACAUAUGAUUAAAAGAUUUUGUCA